RNAcentral lists this microRNA precursor (103 nucleotides) under Mus pahari (shrew mouse). RNAcentral's name for it is "microRNA 6362 (MGP_PahariEiJ_G0006748.1)". The record is from RNAcentral. Lineage: Eukaryota; Metazoa; Chordata; Mammalia; Rodentia; Muridae.
UUCCAUUCUUUUUGCUGGUGGGCAUCUAGGCUAGUUCUGUUCUCGAGCUGUGAUGGACAGGACAACAGAAGGUGUGGAGAGUCCCUCUGUGAUGGAUAUGGAG